Molecule: non-coding RNA, 1523 nt
Organism: Chelmon rostratus (copperband butterflyfish)
Lineage: Eukaryota; Metazoa; Chordata; Actinopteri; Chaetodontiformes; Chaetodontidae
Source: the annotation of a RefSeq genome assembly
CAUGAGCUCACUGGUUCUACUGCUGGCCACCCUGGGGCUCCUGGUUCAGGGUUCAUCAGGACAAAUCACAGUGACUCAGUCUCCUGAAUCUCAGUCUGUUGUUCCAGGACAGACUGUCUACAUCAGAUGUAGAAUCGGUUCAAGUGUAAAUGGCUGGCUCCACUGGUACCUUCAGAAACCUGGAGAAGCUCCUAAACUCCUGAUUUAUCGAAUGACAAGCCGUCAGUCUGGAGUUCCAGAUCGUUUCAGUGGAAGUGGAUCUUGGACUGACUUCACUCUGACCAUCAGUGGAGUUCAGGCUGAAGAUUCAGGAGUUUACUACUGUCAGAGUUAUUAUGAAAUCAACAGUGAGGGGUGGUUCACACAGUGAAAAAGAGUCGUACAAAAACCUCCCUCAGUCAGACUGAACGGAAACUGAACUGACUGCUGCAGCUGGAAGCUACAACAGAGACUGAUACACUUCACUGAGGACACACACACACACACACACACACUUCACCUUCUCUUUCUGUGAUAAUACAUUGACUAAUAGAAUGAGCAGUUUUUAAGAUUUAUGUGAAUCAACUGGCAGAAAUGAAAUUUAAUAUUAAUAAUCCUUUUUAAAUUUGUGUACAAUCACCUGAAAUAAGAAUAAUUAUGCUUUUGUUGUCUUAUAUUGAACUCUUUAUAUCUCCAGAGGGAGCGGGUCCUCUUCCAUGAAAACCGCUAUGUUGCACAUGUAACGGAGUUAAAGUAGUGGUGUGAUUCCACUUGCCAUUUUAAUAAACACAUACACCAACAGUUUUAGGUUGUCCAAGGGUCAUUGAAGGCAGCAGCCCUGCUACCUGGUGUAGUGCAACCCGGAGGAUAGCAACAGUUGCACCUUGCCGUCCUCUGGGUAUGUAUGAACACCACGAGCUCCGCUGUUUGUCCAUAUUAAACUUGUUUUUUGUUGUUAAAUGUGUACUUUAAUUUAUGUUUGCUCUCAUAUUGGUUGAGCACGUUCCUUUUUUUGUAAAAAGUUAACGUAAUUUACUUUUGUUUUCUUUUGUGUGAGUUAAUUGGUUUUCCCUCGUUUUUAUUUCAGACCGGAAUGUGUGUGUGUGUGCGCGCCGCUGCGACGGGGACUGACUGUAUAUAUAUGUGUGUUUCAUAAACCAGGUACGGUUAUAAAUAUGCAUUAAUUCAAAUUGUUUGUUCAAAUAGCAAAAUAUUGAAAAAUAGUAACAGUUGCACCUUGCCGUCCUCUGGACCGGAAUGUGUGUGUGUGUGCGCGCGCCGCUGCGACGGGGACUGACUGUAUAUAUAUGUGUGUUUCAUAAACCAGGACCAAUAAAUGGCGUGUCUGGAUGCCAACUAAACUGAGUUUGUGGUGAUCAUAUUAACACAACGCAAGAGUACGACCGCUACAAUGGUGCCGUGACCCGGAUGCUGCUGCUACGCUGCCGGGACGUUGUGAGCGUUCGCCGCCACGGUGCCUGCUCGUCUCCAUGGUGACGCCCCAAGCUCGACGUGGGAUCGACGACAAGUUACGCGACUGCUUC